UUCUCUCUCUCCUCUGUUUCGUUUUUUUCUUCUUUCACUUUCCUCUUUCUUUCUCCAAUAACAAAAAAAAGAGAUUUCUAAUUCCACAAACGUUUGCUCUGACAAAAAGAUAUCAAUUAGCUCUGCAGAUGUUGUUUAAAAGUUGUCUGCUGCAUCUUCACUGGGUCAAUUCGAUGGACCAGAUCUGGUAGAUCAGAUCCGGUGGACCAUAUCUAAUGAACCAGUGCGUGAAAUCUUUUUCACCCAUGUUUUCCUACAAAGGGAUCUCAAUCAGCUUUGCAGAUGCUCCAUAGAGAUUGUAUGUUCUAUUUCCGACGAGCCAAUCUCGAUGGACCAGAUCUGGUAGACAAUAUCCAGUGAACCAGUUCUAGUGGACCAAACUUGUCUAUUUUUACUAAGCAAUUGUGUCCAUCACGCAGAUCUUUUGAAGCCAUAAGCGAUCGACCAGAUGAUGAAACAAGUAAUGCAUUUAUGGAAAUAUCAUUUAAGAUCCAUCUAGGUUUACACUCUUGACCAUACAUUUGUCUGUAUAUGGACCAAAUCUCGUGGACUAAUCUGGUGGACCAAAUCUCGUGGACUAGAUCCGGUAGACUAGAUCUGGUGGACCAGCCCCGAUGUCUGUAAUAUGUCCAUAUUUUGUUCCCUUACUCGUUGUUCUAUUUUUUUAUAAACUAACUUGUCUAUAAUACAUAUGCUAGUGUGGUAAUAAUGUUGGGUAGUGAAAAAGAACAACUAAUAAUGAUAGACGAUACAUGUAUUUAUCUUGUCCACUGUAUCUUGUCCACUGUAAUUA
This 793-nucleotide long non-coding RNA is filed under the name Capsella grandiflora. RNAcentral's name for it is "long non-coding RNA (CGRA_LNC000325)". Lineage: Eukaryota; Viridiplantae; Streptophyta; Magnoliopsida; Brassicales; Brassicaceae. The record is from RNAcentral.